UACGGAGGGUGCAAGCGUUAUCCGGAAUCACUGGGUUUAAAGGGUGCGUAGGCGGCUUAGUAAGUCAGUGGUGAAAGGCUGUGGCUUAACCAUGGAAUUGCCAUUGAUACUGCUGAGCUUGAAUCAGGUUGAGGUUGGCGGAAUGUGACAUGUAGCGGUGAAAUGCUUAGAUAUGUCAUGGAACACCGAUUGCGAAGGCA
RNAcentral lists this ribosomal RNA (200 nucleotides) under uncultured bacterium. RNAcentral's name for it is "partial 16S ribosomal RNA". It matches the Rfam family "Bacterial small subunit ribosomal RNA", at positions 524 to 723 of the family's 1533-position model. The record is from RNAcentral.